AACUUUCAGCAACGGAUCUCUUGGCUCUCGCAUCGAUAAAGAACGCAGCGAAAUGCGAUAGGUAAUGUGAAUUGCAGAAUUCAGUGAAUCAUCAAAUCUUUGAACGCACCUUGCGCCCUUUGGCCAUUCCGAAGGGCAUGCCUGUUUGAGUAUC
Molecule: ribosomal RNA, 154 nt
Filed under: uncultured Thelephoraceae
Lineage: Eukaryota; Fungi; Basidiomycota; Agaricomycetes; Thelephorales; Thelephoraceae
Description: 5.8S ribosomal RNA
Rfam family: 5.8S ribosomal RNA
About the family: 5.8S ribosomal RNA (5.8S rRNA) is a component of the large subunit of the eukaryotic ribosome. It is transcribed by RNA polymerase I as part of the 45S precursor that also contains 18S and 28S rRNA.
Source: RNAcentral